This 253-nucleotide ribosomal RNA is filed under the name uncultured bacterium. Its description in RNAcentral is "partial 16S ribosomal RNA". It matches the Rfam family "Bacterial small subunit ribosomal RNA", at positions 524 to 776 of the family's 1533-position model. The record is from RNAcentral.
UACGUAGGGGGCAAGCGUUGUCCGGAUUUAUUGGGCGUAAAGAGCGUGUAGGCGGCUUUACAGGUCCGUUGUGAAAACUCGAGGCUCAACCUCGAGACGCCGGUGGAAACCGUAAAGCUAGAGUCCGGAAGAGGAGAGUGGAAUUCCUGGUGUAGCGGUGAAAUGCGCAGAUAUCAGGAAGAACACCCGUGGCGAAGGCGGCUCUCUGGGACGGUACUGACGCUGAGACGCGAGAGCGUGGGGAGCGAACCGG